AGCCUACUAGCUCAAUUGGUAGAGCAUCAAACAAGAGUCGUGGGUUCGAAUCCCACCUAGGUUC
This 64-nucleotide transfer RNA is filed under the name Spinacia oleracea (spinach). It matches the Rfam family "tRNA". Rfam says of the family: Transfer RNA (tRNA) molecules are approximately 80 nucleotides in length. Their secondary structure includes four short double-helical elements and three loops (D, anti-codon, and T loops). The record is from Rfam by way of RNAcentral. Lineage: Eukaryota; Viridiplantae; Streptophyta; Magnoliopsida; Caryophyllales; Amaranthaceae.